AAUCUACUCCCUUCGUUCCGAAUUAUUUGUCACGGGUAUGGAUGUAUCUAGAUGUAUUUUAGUUCUAGAUACAUCCAUUUCUGCGACGAGUAAUUUGGAACGGAGGGAGUAGAAA
Molecule: non-coding RNA, 115 nt
Organism: Triticum aestivum (bread wheat)
Lineage: Eukaryota; Viridiplantae; Streptophyta; Magnoliopsida; Poales; Poaceae
Source: Rfam